RNAcentral lists this ribosomal RNA (232 nucleotides) under uncultured bacterium. RNAcentral describes it as "partial 16S ribosomal RNA". It matches the Rfam family "Bacterial small subunit ribosomal RNA", at positions 118 to 341 of the family's 1533-position model. The record is from RNAcentral.
UGAGCAACCUGCCCUCAGCUCUGGGAUAACUCCAAGAAAUUGGGGCUAAUACCGGAUAUGACUGCUGACCGCAUGGUCUGGUGGUGGAAAGAUUUAUCGGCGUGGGGGAGUGGGGCCGGCGGCCUAUCAGCUUUGUUGGUGAGGUAAUGGCUCACCAAGGCGACGAUCCGUAGCUGGUCUGAGAGGAUCGACCCGGCCACACGUGGGACUGAGACACCGGCCCAGACCUCCG